RNAcentral lists this ribosomal RNA (548 nucleotides) under uncultured bacterium. RNAcentral's name for it is "bacterial SSU rRNA". It matches the Rfam family "Bacterial small subunit ribosomal RNA", at positions 356 to 896 of the family's 1533-position model. The record is from RNAcentral.
GGGGAAUUUUGGACAACGGGCGCAAGCCUGAUCCAGCCAUGCCGCGUGUCUGAAGAAGGCCUUCGGGUUGUAAAGGACUUUUGUCAGGGAAGAAAAGGCUGUUGCUAAUACCGACAGCUGAUGACGGUACCUGAAGAAUAAGCACCGGCUAACUACGUGCCAGCAGCCGCGGUAAUACGUAGGGUGCGAGCGUUAAUCGGAAUUACUGGGCGUAAAGCGAGCGCAGACGGUUACUUAAGCAGGAUGUGAAAUCCCCGGGCUCAACCCGGGAACUGCGUUCUGAACUGGGUGACUCGAGUGUGUCAGAGGGAGGUAGAAUUCCACGUGUAGCAGUGAAAUGCGUAGAGAUGUGGAGGAAUACCGAUGGCGAAGGCAGCCUCCUGGGACAACACUGACGUUCAUGCCCGAAAGCGUGGGUAGCAAACAGGAUUAGAUACCCUGGUAGUCCACGCCCUAAACGAUGUCAAUUAGCUGUUGGGCAACCUGAUUGCUUGGUAGCGUAGCUAACGCGUGAAAUUGACCGCCUGGGGAGUACGGUCGCAAGAUUA